UGCCUCAUCAGAUGACACCUAUGGGACCACUAACCAGCCCCAUCAAGUAAGACCAUGAAGCAAGCUCUACUCAACAAAUUUUGAACUCUGCUCAUGGACCCUCUGAUGAAUUUGGUUGACAGAAACCAAUUAGAAACCCACUGUGUGUGCGUGUGUGUACUUGAUUACAUUCUGAGUACAAAUCUUACUUAGGUCCAUUUUGUCUUUCAUUUCUCAAAGGAUUGUACCACUUUCUCUUAGUUAUUCCAAACCCACUCCUUUUCCCAUUACCUUUGCUGUGUCCAGUUCUCCUCCCCUUUCCCCAGACCCCAUACAACCCACUAACCCAGUCCUUUCCCAGGACAUCCUUCUGGAACUACUUCCUUGCUCAGGUCUUUCCUUUCAUGUCCUAUGUACUCUUACAUUGGUUCAAGAUAAUGAUUAAUGGUUUUGGUAUGACAGGUAUUAGAGGGUUUGCAAAGGCUUAAGAACACUGCCCCUUCUUCCAGAUACAGUAAGUAU
Molecule: long non-coding RNA, 501 nt
Organism: Octopus sinensis (East Asian common octopus)
Lineage: Eukaryota; Metazoa; Mollusca; Cephalopoda; Octopoda; Octopodidae
Exons: 2
Source: RefSeq, a predicted model, not a curated record